Molecule: ribosomal RNA, 468 nt
Filed under: uncultured bacterium
Lineage: Bacteria
Description: partial 16S ribosomal RNA
Rfam family: Bacterial small subunit ribosomal RNA
Source: RNAcentral
GACGAACGCUGGCGGCGUGCUUAACACAUGCAAGUCGAACGGAAAGGCCCUGCUUUUGUGGGGUGCUCGAGUGGCGAACGGGUGAGUAACACGUGAGUAACCUGCCCUUGACUUUGGGAUAACUUCAGGAAACCGGGGCUAAUACCGGAUAGGAGCUCCUGCUGCAUGGUGGGGGUUGGAAGGUUUCGGCGGUUGGGGAUGGACUCGCGGCUUAUCAGCUUGUUGGUGGGGUAGUGGCUUACCAAGGCUUUGACGGGUAGCCGGCCUGAGAGGGUGACCGGCCACAUUGGGACUGAGAUACGGCCCAGACUCCUACGGGAGGCAGCAGUGGGGAAUAUUGCACAAUGGGCGGAAGCCUGAUGCAGCAACGCCGCGUGCGGGAUGACGGCCUUCGGGUUGUAAACCGCUUUCGCCUGUGACGAAGCGUGAGUGACGGUAAUGGGUAAAGAAGCACCGGCUAACUACGUG